This 1327-nucleotide ribosomal RNA is filed under the name Enterobacter huaxiensis. RNAcentral's name for it is "partial 23S ribosomal RNA". It matches the Rfam family "Bacterial large subunit ribosomal RNA", at positions 1639 to 2925 of the family's 2925-position model. The record is from RNAcentral. Lineage: Bacteria; Pseudomonadati; Pseudomonadota; Gammaproteobacteria; Enterobacterales; Enterobacteriaceae.
AAAUCGUACCCCAAACCGACACAGGUGGUCAGGUAGAGAAUACCAAGGCGCUUGAGAGAACUCGGGUGAAGGAACUAGGCAAAAUGGUGCCGUAACUUCGGGAGAAGGCACGCUGAUGUGUAGGUGAAGUCCCUGCGGAUGGAGCUGAAAUCAGUCGAAGAUACCAGCUGGCUGCAACUGUUUAUUAAAAACACAGCACUGUGCAAACACGAAAGUGGACGUAUACGGUGUGACGCCUGCCCGGUGCCGGAAGGUUAAUUGAUGGGGUUAGCGGCAACGCGAAGCUCUUGAUCGAAGCCCCGGUAAACGGCGGCCGUAACUAUAACGGUCCUAAGGUAGCGAAAUUCCUUGUCGGGUAAGUUCCGACCUGCACGAAUGGCGUAAUGAUGGCCAGGCUGUCUCCACCCGAGACUCAGUGAAAUUGAACUCGCUGUGAAGAUGCAGUGUACCCGCGGCAAGACGGAAAGACCCCGUGAACCUUUACUAUAGCUUGACACUGAACACUGGUCCUUGAUGUGUAGGAUAGGUGGGAGGCUUUGAAGCGUGGACGCCAGUCUGCGUGGAGCCAACCUUGAAAUACCACCCUUUAAUGGCUGGUGUUCUAACGUAGACCCGUGAUCCGGGUUGCGGACAGUGUCUGGUGGGUAGUUUGACUGGGGCGGUCUCCUCCCAAAGAGUAACGGAGGAGCACGAAGGUUAGCUAAUCCUGGUCGGACAUCAGGAGGUUAGUGCAAUGGCAUAAGCUAGCUUGACUGCGAGAGUGACGGCUCGAGCAGGUGCGAAAGCAGGUCAUAGUGAUCCGGUGGUUCUGAAUGGAAGGGCCAUCGCUCAACGGAUAAAAGGUACUCCGGGGAUAACAGGCUGAUACCGCCCAAGAGUUCAUAUCGACGGCGGUGUUUGGCACCUCGAUGUCGGCUCAUCACAUCCUGGGGCUGAAGUAGGUCCCAAGGGUAUGGCUGUUCGCCAUUUAAAGUGGUACGCGAGCUGGGUUUAGAACGUCGUGAGACAGUUCGGUCCCUAUCUGCCGUGGGCGCUGGAGAAUUGAGGGGGGCUGCUCCUAGUACGAGAGGACCGGAGUGGACGCAUCACUGGUGUUCGGGUUGUCAUGCCAAUGGCAUUGCCCGGUAGCUAAAUGCGGAAAAGAUAAGUGCUGAAAGCAUCUAAGCACGAAACUUGCCCCGAGAUGAGUUCUCCCUGACCCUUUAAGGGUCCUGAAGGAACGUUGAAGACUACGACGUUGAUAGGUCGGGUGUGUAAGCGCAGCGAUGCGUUGAGCUAACCGAUACUAAUGAACCGUGAGGCUUAACCUUACAACGCCGAAGCUGUU